UGGAAAGGCUGUCAAGCUUAGUAGGGCUGCUAACUUUACUAUAAGAGUAUGAAGGUUUCUCUUCUUUUCAU
Molecule: transfer RNA, 71 nt
Filed under: Perumytilus purpuratus
Lineage: Eukaryota; Metazoa; Mollusca; Bivalvia; Mytilida; Mytilidae
Description: tRNA-Ser
Source: RNAcentral